UGGGGAAUUUUGGACAAUGGGCGAAAGCCUGAUCCAGCAAUGCCGCGUGUGUGAAGAAGGCCUUCGGGUUGUAAAGCACUUUUGUCCGGAAAGAAAUCCUUGGCUCUAAUACAGUCGGGGGAUGACGGUACCGGAAGAAUAAGCACCGGCUAACUACGUGCCAGCAGCCGCGGUAAUACGUAGGGUGCAAGCGUUAAUCGGAAUUACUGGGCGUAAAGCGUGCGCAGGCGGUUUGCUAAGACCGAUGUGAAAUCCCCGGGCUCAACCUGGGAACUGCAUUGGUGACUGGCAGGCUAGAGUAUGGCAGAGGGGGGUAGAAUCCCACGUGUAGCAGUGAAAUGCGUAGAGAUGUGGAGGAAUACCGAUGGCGAAGGCAGCCCCCUGGGCCAAUACUGACGCUCAUGCACGAAAGCGUGGGGAGCAAACAGGAUUAGAUACCCUGGUAGUCCACGCCCUAAACGAUGUCAACUAGUUGUUGGGGAUUCAUUCCUUAGUAACGUAGCUAACGCGUGAAGUUGACCGCCUGGGGAGUACGGUCGCAAGAUUAAAACUCAAAGGAAUUGACGGGGUCAUAGCUGUUUCCU
RNAcentral lists this ribosomal RNA (584 nucleotides) under uncultured bacterium. RNAcentral's name for it is "partial 16S ribosomal RNA". It matches the Rfam family "Bacterial small subunit ribosomal RNA", at positions 355 to 1375 of the family's 1533-position model. The record is from RNAcentral.